RNAcentral lists this unclassified non-coding RNA (342 nucleotides) under fungal sp. Its description in RNAcentral is "partial internal transcribed spacer region". The stretch from base 1 to 46 matches the Rfam family "Eukaryotic small subunit ribosomal RNA", at positions 1786 to 1831 of the family's 1831-position model. The record is from RNAcentral. Lineage: Eukaryota; Fungi.
AAGUCGUAACAAGGUUUCCGUAGGUGAACCUGCGGAAGGAUCAUUAACACUAUAUGUGAGUAUUAUACAUACCUAGUAUAUAUAACCACUCAUCAUAUACUUAUCAACAAACUCGUGCUCCCUUUUUUUCCCACACCACAAACCCUUUUAACUGUUCAACAGUUAAUAGUAUUAUAUUUCUAAUACACACUUGUUGACUGCACUGCAGUAUAUGCGUUACCCUAGUGGUGCGUAUGUCUGUAAUGUUUGUCAUGAUGUAUGUGAAUGCAUGUGAGUAGUUGUCGUUGUACAACUAGUUGCAUGGUUAGCACACAAGUGUUAGCAAUGGAUAUCUAGGCUCUC